CCUACGGGAGGCAGCAGUGAGGAAUAUUGGUCAAUGGCCGCAAGGCUGAACCAGCCAAGUAGCGUGAAGGAUGAAGGAUCUAUGGUUUGUAAACUUCUUUUAUAGGGGAAUAAAGGUAUCCACGUGUGGAUAUUUGCAUGUACCCUAUGAAUAAGCAUCGGCUAACUCCGUGCCAGCAGCCGCGGUAAUACGGAGGAUGCGAGCGUUAUCCGGAUUUAUUGGGUUUAAAGGGUGCGUAGGUUGUCUUUUAAGUCAGCGGUGAAAGUUUGUGGCUCAACCAUAAGAUUGCCGUUGAAACUGGAUGUCUUGAGAGUGUGAGAGGUAGGCGGAAUGCGUGGUGUAGCGGUGAAAUGCAUAGAUAUCGCGCAGAACUCCGAUUGCGAAGGCAGCUUACUAGGGCAGAACUGACACUGAAGCACGAAAGCGUGGGGAUCGAACAGGAUUAGAUACCCGAGUAGUC
Molecule: ribosomal RNA, 460 nt
Filed under: uncultured bacterium
Lineage: Bacteria
Description: partial 16S ribosomal RNA
Rfam family: Bacterial small subunit ribosomal RNA
Source: RNAcentral